RNAcentral lists this long non-coding RNA (1930 nucleotides) under Homo sapiens (human). Its description in RNAcentral is "HSALNT0217258". Lineage: Eukaryota; Metazoa; Chordata; Mammalia; Primates; Hominidae. The record is from RNAcentral.
GCUGGAUGAGUUACUUUCCCUUUUCAUGCCUAUUUUAACAUAUUCCCUCUGGAUAAAAAUUCUAGAUUUGCAGGGCUACAAACAGUAGAGCUGUCUUUGGUCCCUCCCUGGAGGCGCUUCAAUUGCUGGCGAGAUGGCUGCCUCAAGGCAACUUUGCUCACAGAGGAUCACAGGAAAAAGCUCUUCAGUUCGAGAGGUAUUUACCUAUUGAUUAGGUUCCUCUGUGCGUCGGUACUAUCGAGAGGAAGCUGAUGUCGUAACUCCGGUCCUUUUUCACUUUCUUAAAUUUUUUUCCUCCCAAAUGAAAAGUGGGUGAAUGAAUGAAAAUCCACUGACCAUCAAAUGUAUUUUACACUCUGAAACAUUCCCCAUUUUUGUGAGUGCAAAUUAAUUCAAAUAGGAUUUCCCUUCCUAACGGCACAAUCAACUGCACUGUCUUCAAAAAGAGAUGUGGACUGCUUGAAAAUGAGACGCUUGUGUCACAAGGACAUUGCACAUGGACACAGAGCAGCAUGAUGGUUUCCAAGCCACACGCAUCAUGCCAGGCAGACCCCACCGCUAAGGCUAGAAGGAACUCUGGUGAAGCACUGACUCCAAACAAAGAGGGACUUUGGUCCAGCAACCCCGUCCCACCCUACAGCAGACGGGCUGGGGCCUGGACGCUCUACAACAGGACACAGAAUCACUUAUCUAUUUCUCAAGACCAAAGAAGACAUCGGACCCUUGUCAAACUCCAGCACCUAUUGGGGGAACCUAAGGAGGCAUAAGUGCCAUGUUAACCUUUGGGCCAAGAGGCAGUAGAGUGCAAGAGAUGGGCUCAGUUCUUGUCCACCUUACUAACCAAGCAAAUUUUAUCUUUUCAAAACUCAAUGUCUUCCUCUGUAAAAUCAAGUUAGUCUCACAGCGUUAACCUCACAGGAUUGUGGAGAGGGCAAGAUGAUGAUGUAUGCAAAGCACUUAUUCUAGUGCUGAUAGAGAAUAAGGAUUAAAAUGUUUUCUCUUUUCUCUCUUCUCCUUUAUAUAUCUGUACAGUGCUCUAGAAUUAACAGAUGAUAUUCCCAUUUACAAAGCAUGUUCAGACACAGUCUCAUUAACAAUACUUCUCACAAUAAUACUGCAAGGUAGCUAUUAUUAUCCUCAGGCUAAAGAGAGGGAAACUAAGGCCAGUCUAACCCUGCACUCUCGGGAGACUGUAGAACUGUGUCAGUGCUGAUGGCAGCUGAAGGCUUCAGGACUUGAGUACAGCUGGAAGAUCCAAGAUGUAAAACAAAUAUCUAUGAUUAGUUACUUGAUUUGGCUGAAAAUUUCCAUAGUUCAUCUACGGGCUGAGAAGAUUUCUGAUUCCCUCUUUGGCAGCGUAGGCUCCAAGCACCUGUUUACUGACUGCUCUUCACAAGGCACAGCUGCCCACCUCAUGCAUGUCAACUCUGGGGUAUGAUGAAAAUGUUUGUGGGUAUCAUAAAGUUCUGGUCUCCUCCUCCCUGUGCAAAAGUGUGGCAGGGAGAUGGUGACUUGGUAGGUUGUAACCUGUGGUAAACACAAACGAAGCUGUGUGUGUGUGUGUGUGUGUGUGUUGUGUGUGUGGUGGAAGGUGACUUGAGAGAGAGGGAGCAGGGGGUGGUUACAGAUGGACACACACCUGGGACAUAUUGGACCAUGUGCUCAGUAACCCUCAUCAGACCAAGCAUUUCCAGCAAUUAACAGGUCUGUCACAACCUGACCGCUCUCCUACUGACUUCUCUAGCCCCUAUUUUCACUGCUCACUUGGCACAGUAUUGUUUUGUACUAUUAUUUAAUUUGUGAGAGCCCAACUAUACUACAAGAUUUAGAAGAACAACACGGAAUUAUAUGUCUCGGUAUGGACUCUAGUGCUUUGCACACUGCUCUGUACAUAGGUGGUAUUCAAUAAACUCCUUAUGUGACUUGAUGG